Molecule: transfer RNA, 87 nt
Filed under: Clostridia bacterium
Lineage: Bacteria; Bacillati; Bacillota; Clostridia
Description: tRNA-Leu
Rfam family: tRNA
About the family: Transfer RNA (tRNA) molecules are approximately 80 nucleotides in length. Their secondary structure includes four short double-helical elements and three loops (D, anti-codon, and T loops). Further hydrogen bonds mediate the characteristic L-shaped molecular structure. tRNAs have two regions of fundamental functional importance: the anti-codon, which is responsible for specific mRNA codon recognition, and the 3' end, to which the tRNAs corresponding amino acid is attached (by aminoacyl-tRNA synthetases). tRNAs cope with the degeneracy of the genetic code in two manners: having more than one tRNA (with a specific anti-codon) for a particular amino acid; and 'wobble' base-pairing, i.e. permitting non-standard base-pairing at the 3rd anti-codon position.
Source: RNAcentral
GCGGACGUGGCGGAAUUGGCAGACGCGCAGGAUUCAGGUUCCUGUGGUAGCAAUACUGUGUGGGUUCAAGUCCCAUCGUCCGCACCA